UUAAGUUCAGCGGGUAUCCCUACCUGAUCCGAGGUCAAACAGAUAAAAUGGGGGGUUAACGGCGGAAGAUUUGUCCAUAUCGCAGCGAAACAUAAAUGUUGAUUACUACGCUUUUUGGAACAGACAGCUUCGCCAUUGAUUUUCGGAUAGGAAUGGCACAUGUCCACUCCGAUUCCAAUACCAAGUCAUGAAUAAAUUCA
RNAcentral lists this unclassified non-coding RNA (200 nucleotides) under Pulvinula sp. RNAcentral describes it as "partial internal transcribed spacer 2". Lineage: Eukaryota; Fungi; Ascomycota; Pezizomycetes; Pezizales; Pulvinulaceae. The record is from RNAcentral.